Molecule: ribosomal RNA, 406 nt
Filed under: uncultured bacterium
Lineage: Bacteria
Description: bacterial SSU rRNA
Rfam family: Bacterial small subunit ribosomal RNA
Source: RNAcentral
GACGAACGCUGGCGGCGUGCCUAACACAUGCAAGUCAACUUGACUGAAGGAGCAAUCUGACAGUAGAGUGGCGCAAGGGUGCGUAACGCGUAAGUAACUUGCCCCAAGGUAAGGAAUAACGUCGAGAAAUCGGCGCUAAUACCUCAUAAUGCAGCGGAUCCGCAUGGAUAUGUUGUUAAAGGUUUACCGCCUUGGGAUAGGCUUGCGUCUGAUUAGCUAGUUGGUGUGGUAACGGCACACCAAGGCUACGAUCAGUAACUGGUCUGAGAGGAUGAUCAGUCACACUGGAACUGAGACACGGUCCAGACUCCUACGGGAGGCAGCAGUGAGGAAUAUUGGGCAAUGCUCGAAGAGUGACCCAGCAACGCCGCGUGGAGGAUGAAGGUAUUCUAUAUCGUAAACUCCU